GCAGGCUGCAACUCGCCUGCAUGAAGUCGGAAUUGCUAGUAAUCGCAGAUCAGCAUGCUGCGGUGAAUACGUUCCCGGGCCUUGUACACACCGCCCGUCACACCAUGGGAGUCGGUAACACCCGAAGUCGGUAGCCUAACCGUAAGGAGGGCGUCGCCGAAGGUGGGGAUUGAUGACUGGGGUGAAGUCGUAACAAGGUAUC
Molecule: ribosomal RNA, 202 nt
Filed under: uncultured bacterium
Lineage: Bacteria
Description: partial 16S ribosomal RNA
Rfam family: Bacterial small subunit ribosomal RNA
Source: RNAcentral